RNAcentral lists this ribosomal RNA (97 nucleotides) under uncultured bacterium. Its description in RNAcentral is "partial 16S ribosomal RNA". It matches the Rfam family "Bacterial small subunit ribosomal RNA", at positions 1386 to 1482 of the family's 1533-position model. The record is from RNAcentral.
CACACCGCCCGUCACACCAUGGGAGUCGAUUGCUCCAAAAGUGCCUGAGCCAACCGCAAGGAGGCAGGGCCCCAAGGAGUGAUCGGUAACUGGGGUG